Molecule: ribosomal RNA, 433 nt
Filed under: uncultured bacterium
Lineage: Bacteria
Description: partial 16S ribosomal RNA
Rfam family: Bacterial small subunit ribosomal RNA
Source: RNAcentral
AACGAACGCUGGCGGCAUGCCUAACACAUGCAAGUCGAACGAAACCUUCGGGUCUAGUGGCGCACGGGUGCGUAACGCGUGGGAACCUUCCCUUAGGUUCGGAAUAACUCCCCGAAAGGGGUGCUAAUACCGGAUAAUGUCUUCGGACCAAAGAUUUAUCGCCUUUGGAUGGGCCCGCGUUGGAUUAGCUAGUUGGUAGGGUAAAAGCCUACCAAGGCGACGAUCCAUAGCUGGUCUGAGAGGAUGAUCAGCCACACUGGGACUGAGACACGGCCCAGACUCCUACGGGAGGCAGCAGUGGGGAAUAGUGGACAAUGGGCGAAAGCCUGAUCCAGCAAUGCCGCGUGAGUGAUGAAGGCCUUAGGGUUGUAAAGCUCUUUUACCCGGGAUGAUAAUGACAGUACCGGGAGAAUAAGCUCCGGCUAACUCCGUG